Molecule: ribosomal RNA, 580 nt
Filed under: Haliotis roei (Roe's abalone)
Lineage: Eukaryota; Metazoa; Mollusca; Gastropoda; Lepetellida; Haliotidae
Description: partial 16S ribosomal RNA
Rfam family: Bacterial large subunit ribosomal RNA
Source: RNAcentral
ACAAAAAACCAGGGCUCCCUGGGUUAUUUAAAUAAAAUGGGGAGUCGGACCCUUGCCCCAGUGACCUAAAGGGGUUUAAACGGCCCGCGGUACACUGACCGUGCAAAGGUAGCAACAAUCAUUUGCCUUUUUAAUUGGAGGCUGGUAUGAAUUGGUUUGACGAGGGCUGAGCUGUUUCUUCUGGAAUAUUUAAAAAUUAACUUCUAGGUGAAAAGGCUUAGAUUUAGCUGAGGGACGAGAAGACCCUGUUGAGCUUUAGUGUGGCAUAAAAGGCUUUGCUCCUACUUUGGGUAGAGGGCCGGAAUUUAUUUUUACAUCUUUAGUUGGGGUGACUGGGGAACAAUAAGUAGCUUCUCUGUUUUUGUCGAGUUGAAUUCGGUUUACUGACUGGUGAUCCAGCAUUGUUGAUUAUCGGAAAAAGUUACCACAGGGAUAACAGCGUAAUCUUCCUGGAAGAGUUCACAUUGAAAGGAGGGUUUGCGACCUCGAUGUCGGAAUUAAACGUGUCCUGAAGGGGUGUAGCAACUUUUCGUUGGUUUGGUCUUGUUCGAACAUUAAAAACCUUUACGUUGAAUCUGAG